This 871-nucleotide ribosomal RNA is filed under the name uncultured bacterium. Its description in RNAcentral is "bacterial SSU rRNA". It matches the Rfam family "Bacterial small subunit ribosomal RNA", at positions 21 to 902 of the family's 1533-position model. The record is from RNAcentral.
GGCUCAGGACGAACGCUGGCGGCGUGCUUAACACAUGCAAGUCGAACGGUGAACCGGGCUUCGGCCCGGGGAUCAGUGGCGAACGGGUGCGUAACACGUGGGCAACCUGCCCCAGACACUGGGAUAACUCCGGGAAACCGGGGCUAAUACCGGAUACUCUCGUCCGAUCACAUGAUCGGCCGAGGAAAGCUCCGACGGUCUGGGAUGGGCCCGCGGCCUAUCAGCUUGUUGGUGGGGUAACGGCCUACCAAGGCGACGACGGGUAGCUGGUCUGAGAGGACGACCAGCCACACUGGAACUGAGACACGGUCCAGACUCCUACGGAAGGCAGCAGUGGGGAAUCUUGCGCAAUGGGCGAAAGCCUGACGCAGCGACGCCGCGUGGGGGAUGAAGGCCCUCGGGUCGUAAACCCCUUUCGGCAGGGACGAAGCGAACGUGACGGUACCUGCAGAAGAAGUCCCGGCUAACUACGUGCCAGCAGCCGCGGUAAGACGUAGGGGACGAGCGUUGUCCGGAUUCAUUGGGCGUAAGGAGCGCGUAGGCGGCCGCGCAAGUCGGAUGUGAAAACCCGGGGCUCAACCCCGGGCCUGCAUCCGAUACUGCGUGGCUAGAGGUAGGUAGGGGAGAUCGGAAUUCCUGGUGUAGCGGUGAAAUGCGCAGAUAUCAGGAGGAACACCGGUGGCGAAGGCGGAUCUCUGGGCCUUACCUGACGCUCAGGCGCGAAAGCUAGGGGAGCGAACAGGAUUAGAUACCCUGGUAGUCCUAGCCGUAAACGUUGGGUGCUAGGUGUGGGUGGACAUCAACCCCAUCCGUGCCGAAGCUAACGCAUUAAGCACCCCGCCUGGGGAGUACGGGCGCAAGGCUAAAACUC